This 468-nucleotide ribosomal RNA is filed under the name uncultured bacterium. RNAcentral describes it as "partial 16S ribosomal RNA". It matches the Rfam family "Bacterial small subunit ribosomal RNA", at positions 28 to 507 of the family's 1533-position model. The record is from RNAcentral.
GACGAACGCUGGCGGCGUGCUUAACACAUGCAAGUCGAACGGAAAGGCCCUGCUUUUGUGGGGUGCUCGAGUGGCGAACGGGUGAGUAACACGUGAGUAACCUGCCCUUGACUUUGGGAUAACUUCAGGAAACUGGGGCUAAUACCGGAUAGGAGCUCCUGCUGCAUGGUGGGGGUUGGAAAGUUUCGGCGGUUGGGGAUGGACUCGCGGCUUAUCAGCUUGUUGGGGGGGUAGUGGCUUACCAAGGCUUUGACGGGUAGCCGGCCUGGGAGGGUGAACGGCCACAUUGGGACUGAGAUACGGCCCAGACGCCUACGGGAGGCAGCAGUGGGGAAUAUUGCACAAUGGGCGGAAGCCUGAUGCAGCAACGCCGCGUGCGGGAUGACGGCCUUCGGGUUGUAAACCGCUUUCGCCUGUGACGAAGCGUGAGUGACGGUAAUGGGUAAAGAAGCACCGGCUAACUACGUG